GGCAGGCUUAACACAUGCAAGUCGAGGGGCAGCGGGGUAGCAAUACUGCCGGCGACCGGCGCACGGGUGCGUAACGCGUAUGCAACUUACCUCUAACUUGGGGAUAGCCCGGAGAAAUUCGGAUUAAUACCCAAUAAGAUUGCAGAAUGGCAUCAUUUAGCAAUUAAAACUCCGGUGGUUAGAGAUAGGCAUGCGUGCCAUUAGUUAGUUGGUGAGGUAACGGCUCACCAAGACUAUGAUGGCUAGGGGGUCUGAGAGGAUGAUCCCCCACACUGGUACUGAGACACGGACCAGACUCCUACGGGAGGCAGCAGUGAGGAAUAUUGGUCAAUGGGCGCAAGCCUGAACCAGCCAUGCCGCGUGCAGGAUGAAGGUUUUAUGAAUUGUAAACUGCUUUUGUACGGGACGAACCAUGGGCACGUGUGCCCAUCUGACGGUACUGUAUGAAUAAGCAUCGGCUAACUCCGUGCCAGCAGCCGCGGUAAUACGGAGGAUGCAAGCGUUAUCCGGAUUCAUUGGGUUUAAAGGGUGUGUAGGCGGAAUAUUAAGUCAGUGGUGAAAUCCUGCGGCUCAACCGUAGAACUGCCAUUGAUACUGAUGUUCUUGAAUGUAGUUGAAGUGGGCGGAAUGUAUAAUGUAGCGGUGAAAUGCUUAGAUAUUAUACAGAACACCGAUUGCGAAGGCAGCUCACUAAACUAAUAUUGACGCUGAGGCACGAAAGCGUGGGGAUCAAACAGGAUUAGAUACCCUUGUAGUCCACGCCGUAAACGAUGAUUACUCGUUGUGUGCACUACACCGCACGCGACUGAGCGAAAGCAUUAAGUAAUCCACCUGGGGAGUACGAUCGCAAGAUUGAAACUCAAAGGAAUUGACGGGGGCCCGCACAAGCGGAGGAACAUGUGGUUUAAUUCGAUGAUACGCGAGGAACCUUACCUAGACUUAAAUGUAGAUUGACCGGUGCCGAAAGGUGCUUUCUCUUCGGAGCAAUUUACAAGGUGCUGCAUGGUUGUCGUCAGCUCGUGCUGUGAGGUGUCGGGUUAAGUCCCAUAACGAGCGCAACCCCUAUCAUUAGUUGCCAGCGGGUAAUGCCGGGAACUCUAAUGAGACUGCCAGCGUAAGCUGUGAGGAAGGUGGGGAUGACGUCAAAUCAGCACGGCCCUUACGUCUAGGGCUACACACGUGUUACAAUGGUCGGUACAAAGGGCAGCUACUUGGUGACAAGAUGCUAAUCUCUAAAACCGGUCUCAGUUCGGAUUGAAGUCUGCAACUCGACUUCAUGAAGUUGGAUUCGCUAGUAAUCGUAUAUCAGCAAUGAUACGGUGAAUACGUUCCCGGGCCUUGUACACACCGCCCGUCAAGCCAUGGAAGCCAAGGGUACCUGAAGUUCGUGACCGCAAGGAGCGACCUAGGGUAAAAUUGGUGACUGGGGCUAAGUCGUAACAAGGUA
RNAcentral lists this ribosomal RNA (1447 nucleotides) under metagenome. Its description in RNAcentral is "bacterial SSU rRNA". It matches the Rfam family "Bacterial small subunit ribosomal RNA". The record is from RNAcentral.